GGGUGACCUUAGGCCAGUCACAUCCUCUCAGCCUAACCUACCUUACAGGGUUGUUGUGAGCAUAAAAUGGAGAAGGAGGAGAACCAUAUGCGCCACCUUGAGCUCCUUGGAGGAAAGAUGUUGAAAUCUACUUCUGCUGCAUUGAGACCUGUACAACCACAUUCUCCCAAGUCGCAUCACCAUCCUCCCUCCCUCUAAACUACAUCUGUGUGCUGAGCUACCAGACAGGGAUGCAUACAUAUAGUGGUCCUAUGCCUUUAUCACCUACCUGGAAGCUGGCAGGAUUUUAAGAGUUGAAGAAUUUUUGCCUCUCAUGCGCCAAUUAAAG
Molecule: long non-coding RNA, 328 nt
Organism: Rhineura floridana
Lineage: Eukaryota; Metazoa; Chordata; Lepidosauria; Squamata; Rhineuridae
Exons: 3
Source: RefSeq, a predicted model, not a curated record